GUAUCAUGGCUCAGGAUGAACGCUAGCUACAGGCUUAACACAUGCAAGUCGAGGGGCGAGCAUGGUCUUAGCUUGCUAAGGCCGAUGGCGACCGGCGCACGGGUGAGUAACGCGUAUCCAACCUGCCUUACACGUCUUGGACAGCCUUCUGAAAGGGAGAUUAAUACAAGAUGUUAUCAUGGGUAAGCAUUUUCGCAUGAUUAAAGGUUUACCGGUGUAAGAUGGGGAUGCGUUCCA
RNAcentral lists this ribosomal RNA (237 nucleotides) under uncultured bacterium. Its description in RNAcentral is "partial 16S ribosomal RNA". It matches the Rfam family "Bacterial small subunit ribosomal RNA", at positions 14 to 240 of the family's 1533-position model. The record is from RNAcentral.